CUACGGGUGGCUGCAGUGAGGAAUCUUGCGCAAUGGGGGAAACCCUGACGCAGCGACGCCGCGUGGGUGAUGAAGGCCUUCGGGUCGUAAAGCCCUGUCAAGUGGGAAGAACGGUCGACGGGUUAAUAUCCCGACUUCUUGACGGUACCACUGGAGGAAGCACCGGCUGAACUCCGUGCCAGCAGCCGCGGUAAUACGGAGGGUGCCAGCGUUGUUCGGAAUCACUGGGCGUAAAGGGCGCGCAGGCGGUUUGGUAAGUCAGAUGUGAAAGCCCUGGGCUCAACCCAGGAAGUGCAUUUGAUACUGCCUUCCUGGAGUACGGGAGAGGGAAGCGGAAUUCCGAGUGUAGAGGUGAAAUUCGUAGAUAUUCGGAGGAACACCGGUGGCGAAGGCGGCUUCCUGGACCGAUACUGACGCUGAGGCGCGAAAGCGUGGGGAGCAAACAGGAUUAGAUACCCGGGUAGUC
This 466-nucleotide ribosomal RNA is filed under the name uncultured bacterium. RNAcentral's name for it is "partial 16S ribosomal RNA". It matches the Rfam family "Bacterial small subunit ribosomal RNA", at positions 339 to 795 of the family's 1533-position model. The record is from RNAcentral.